Molecule: ribosomal RNA, 253 nt
Filed under: uncultured bacterium
Lineage: Bacteria
Description: partial 16S ribosomal RNA
Rfam family: Bacterial small subunit ribosomal RNA
Source: RNAcentral
UACAGAGGUGGCAAGCGUUGUUCGGAAUUACUGGGCGUAAAGGGCGCGUAGGCGGUUUGUCAAGUCCCGUGUGAAAGCCCUCGGCUCAACCGAGGAACGGCGCGGGAAACUAGCAGGCUUGAGUUCGGGAGAGGGAAGCGGAAUUCCGGGUGUAGCGGUGAAAUGCGCAGAUAUCCGGAGGAACACCGGUGGCGAAGGCGGCUUCCUGGACCGACACUGACGCUGAGGCGCGAAAGCUAGGGGAGCAAACGGG